AUAUCUCUCUGUACGGGAAGGAUGAGAAGCUUCGACUAAGGUUCGAUUCGAGCGCAGCGAGAAAGCGUUGCCGCAGGCAACGACCCGAAGGGCGAAGCGCGCAGCGCUGAGUAAUCCUU
This 119-nucleotide small RNA is filed under the name Salmonella enterica subsp. enterica serovar Muenchen. RNAcentral's name for it is "partial RtT sRNA". It matches the Rfam family "RtT RNA". From Rfam's summary of the family: This family represents a bacterial cis-regulatory element known as RtT RNA. The exact function of RtT is unknown although it is thought that it may be involved in changing the cellular response in relation to amino acid starvation. RNAcentral also lists the same sequence under 1 other name. Lineage: Bacteria; Pseudomonadati; Pseudomonadota; Gammaproteobacteria; Enterobacterales; Enterobacteriaceae. The record is from RNAcentral.